This 1057-nucleotide ribosomal RNA is filed under the name Limosilactobacillus mucosae. RNAcentral's name for it is "bacterial SSU rRNA". It matches the Rfam family "Bacterial small subunit ribosomal RNA", at positions 8 to 1020 of the family's 1533-position model. The record is from RNAcentral. Lineage: Bacteria; Bacillati; Bacillota; Bacilli; Lactobacillales; Lactobacillaceae.
AGAGUUUGAUCCUGGCUCAGGAUGAACGCCGGCGGUGUGCCUAAUACAUGCAAGUCGAACGCGUUGGCCCAACUGAUUGAACGUGCUUGCACGGACUUGACAUUGGUUUACCAGCGAGUGGCGGACGGGUGAGUAACACGUAGGUAACCUGCCCCAAAGCGGGGGAUAACAUUUGGAAACAGAUGCUAAUACCGCAUAACAAUUUGAAUCGCAUGAUUCAAAUUUAAAAGAUGGCUUCGGCUAUCACUUUGGGAUGGACCUGCGGCGCAUUAGCUUGUUGGUAGGGUAACGGCCUACCAAGGCUGUGAUGCGUAGCCGAGUUGAGAGACUGAUCGGCCACAAUGGAACUGAGACACGGUCCAUACUCCUACGGGAGGCAGCAGUAGGGAAUCUUCCACAAUGGGCGCAAGCCUGAUGGAGCAACACCGCGUGAGUGAAGAAGGGUUUCGGCUCGUAAAGCUCUGUUGUUAGAGAAGAACGUGCGUGAGAGCAACUGUUCACGCAGUGACGGUAUCUAACCAGAAAGUCACGGCUAACUACGUGCCAGCAGCCGCGGUAAUACGUAGGUGGCAAGCGUUAUCCGGAUUUAUUGGGCGUAAAGCGAGCGCAGGCGGUUUGAUAAGUCUGAUGUGAAAGCCUUUGGCUUAACCAAAGAAGUGCAUCGGAAACUGUCAGACUUGAGUGCAGAAGAGGACAGUGGAACUCCAUGUGUAGCGGUGGAAUGCGUAGAUAUAUGGAAGAACACCAGUGGCGAAGGCGGCUGUCUGGUCUGCAACUGACGCUGAGGCUCGAAAGCAUGGGUAGCGAACAGGAUUAGAUACCCUGGUAGUCCAUGCCGUAAACGAUGAGUGCUAGGUGUUGGAGGGUUUCCGCCCUUCAGUGCCGCAGCUAACGCAUUAAGCACUCCGCCUGGGGAGUACGACCGCAAGGUUGAAACUCAAAGGAAUUGACGGGGGCCCGCACAAGCGGUGGAGCAUGUGGUUUAAUUCGAAGCUACGCGAAGAACCUUACCAGGUCUUGACAUCUUGCGCCAACCCUAGAGAUAGGGCGUUUCCUU